CGUGUAGGCGGUCAGGUAAGUGAGAUGUGAAAUGCCCCGGCUCACCCGGGGACCGGCAUCUCAUACUGCUUGGCUUGAGUACGGGAGAGGAUGUGGGAAUUCCUGGUGUAGCGGUGAAAUGCGUAGAUAUCAGGAGGAACACCGGUGGCGAAGGCGCACAUCUGGCCCGAUACUGACGCUAAAGCGCGAAAGCUAGGGGAGCAAACG
This 207-nucleotide ribosomal RNA is filed under the name uncultured bacterium. Its description in RNAcentral is "partial 16S ribosomal RNA". It matches the Rfam family "Bacterial small subunit ribosomal RNA", at positions 568 to 774 of the family's 1533-position model. The record is from RNAcentral.